CCAUAGAGGGCACAUGUUCCCUAAUUGGCCUAGAGCAUACUGGCUCAUUAUCCUUCCACCGCUGGUGGCGGGCGGUACUCGCUGCUCUGUGAAGCCAGCCUCACGCAAUGUCCGCCACUUUAGGUAUUAGGAUGCAAAGGCAUUCGCCAAGGCACCCGAAACCCACUACACAACUUGGAAUGGGUGGUCCACAGUUUGUAGCACUAGACCCAAGCACAUGCACCACAAUUGACAUCCACACUUCCUUAUUGCCCCCGCUCGGGUUACAAGCAAUCGCUACUUGCUCAGCGAGUGAGGGGGUUCAGGACUGCCUAUUUAAGGUGGUGUUGUACUCUAUGAAGCGGUGAUGUGGUAUUAACCAACAACAAAUAGUGUGUAGUCUAGAAAUUUUUUAUGUGUUUCCUCUUCCCUAUGAAGUGGAAAGUGGGUGCGUCAGAGAAGUAAGAAAGAGUGGCUAGCAUUGAUUUUACGUCAUCCCCUUGAGAACAUUAAUCAAAAGCAGAAGCAACAAUAUUUGAUACAUAUACAACACAUGUAAUCCAUAUAAACAAUUUUCCUUCAAAAAUAAUAUAAACCACAUGAUUAUAUCUUAGGUCGGUCAUAUCCACAAAGGGCAAGGACACGCACCUAAGUUUGUAGUUUAGAACUAAGAGUGUCUGCUCUCACGAUUUCUUCCCGACCUAUGCAAACUGGACACUGAUCACGUAAAGUAAAGACAUAUGUGGUAACAUGAACCUAUAGCAUGUAUUUCAACCUAUAGAUUGUUGAUUAUUAUGGUAGAUUAUAUAAUAUAGGGAUUCCCGAAGAAAUACAUAAAAACGAGAGAAUUAAAUUUUCCUUUUCAGAUUUGGCUAACUGGUAAAAGGAGUUGGAGUAUCUGAGUUUCCAAAUUUGGGACGUAGAUGUAUAGAAGGAAUAUAAAUACGUUGGAAAUUUUUCUACAAGGCAAGGUUUAACACAAGUUGGGACAAGAAAAAACCAAUGAGGCUUUGAUCGCAUGGUCACAAAACUAGAGACAAGAAACAUGAAGAAACCAAGGUAAUUAGUAUGAGAGUUUUCCAAAUUUGGUGUCUUGAUGUAGAAAAAUAAAUAUAUGAUAAACAUGUUUUUCUACAAGGCAUGGUAUAAUAAGUGGGAGUGAGUAAUAAAUUUCAUCAUAGAUUUAGAAGGAAGAAUUAUAUCACUAAAUAUGUUCUUUCAUAAUGCCAAGUUAAGUAGGUGGGGCCGAGAAAUCAAUUCUUGCGAGGCUUGGUUGUACUAGCCCCAAACUAGAUACAGCAGAGGAAAAAUAAAAAAAAUGUUGGUCUACCAAAUAUGGCGCAUGAGCCUUAAGGUGGACCUGGAGGGAAGUAGAAGAAAUAAAUAUAUAACUGAAUAUGUUUUUCGCAAUGCAAGGUAAAGUGUAGAUGCGCUCUAACUAGGCUUAGAUUGCAGUGACACGUUAUCCUUCCACAAGGCUUGGUUGCACAAUGAAAAAAAGGUAAAGAGAAAAAUGUAGACGUAGGAUGGGUUGAAAACAUUCAAUGAGGCAUGAUUGCACGGACAUAGAACUAGAUAGAAGAAAAGACUUAAAUAAAAAUAAAGGAAGUAAAUUUUCUUUUGCACACUAAGCAUGAAUGGAGUUGUAGUAUCUGAGAUCCCAAAUUUAAUUUGUUCCAAGAUGUAGAACAAAAUUGCAAGACUCAUAAUGAUUACAUAGGGACAAAAGUAGUUAAGAAAAAUAGCAAAAAGAUAGUGGUCUACCAUAGAGGGCACAUGUUCCCUAAUUGGCCUAGAGCAUAGCGGCUCAUUAUCCUUCCACCGCUGGUGGCGGGCGGUACUCGCUGCUCUGUGAAGCCAGCCUCAUGCAAUGUCCGCCACUUUAGGUGUUAGGAUGCAAAGGCAUUCGCCAAGGCACCCGAAACCCACUACACAACUUGGAAUGGGUGGUCCACAGUUUGUAGCACUAGACUCAAGCACAUGCACCACUAUUGACAUCCACACUUCCUUAUUGCCCCCGCUCUGGUUACAAGCAAUCGCUACUUGCUCAACGAGUGAGGGGGUUCAGGACUACCUAUUUAAGGUGGUGUUGUACUCUAUGAGGCGGCGAUGUGGUAUUAACCAACAACAAAUAGUGUCAUGCAUGUGAGUUGCUAGUUGGCAGAGUCUGUUGUUGACCUAGCUAUGGGUUGUGGCUGAAGCACAUGACGAUAGAGUAGGCCUAUUAUGUUUUGUUGAUUUUGGGCCUUUGUGGACUUUAUGCUGAUGUCCAGAAUUUUUUUAUGUGUUUCCUCUUCCCUAUGAAGUGAAAAGUGGGUGCGUCAAAGAAGAAAGAAAGAGUGGCUAGCAUUGAUUUUACGUCAUCCCCUUGAGAACAUUAAUCAAAAGCAGAAGCAACAAUAUUUGAUACAUAUGCAACACAUGUAAUCCAUAUAAACAACUUUCCUUCAAAAAUAAUAUAAACCACAUGAUUAUAUCUUAGGUCGGUCAUAUCCACAAAGGGCAAGGACACGCACCUAAGUUUGUAGUUUAGAACUAAGAGUGUCUACUCUCACGAUUUCUUCCCGACAUAUGUAAACUGUACACUGAUCACGUAAAGUAAAGACAUAUGUGGUAACACGAACCUAUAGCAUGUAUUUCAACCUAUAGAUUGUUGAUUAUUAUGGUAGAUUAUAUAAUAUAGGGAUUCCCGAAGAAAUACGUAAAAACGAGAGAAUUAAAUUUUCCUUUUCAGAUUUGGCUAACUGGUAAAAGGAGUUGGAGUAUCUAAGUUUCCAAAUUUGGGAUGUAGAUGUAUAGAAGGAAUAUAAAUAUGUUGGAAAUUUUUCUACAAGGCAAGGUUUAACACAAGUUGGGACAAGAAAAAAGCAAUGAGGAUUUGAUUGCAUGGUCACAAAACUAGAGACAAGAAACAUGAAGAAACCAACGUAAUUAGUAUGAGAGUUUUCCAAAUUUGGUGUCUUGAUGUAGAAAAAAUAAAUAUAUGACAAACAGGUUUUUUGCAAGGCAUGGUAAAAUAUGUGGUUGUGAGCAAUGAAUUUCGUCCUAGAUUUAGAAGGAAUAAAUAUAUCACCAUAUAUGUUUUUUCAUAAUGCCAAGUUAAGCAUGUGGGACCGAGAAAAUAAUUCUAGCGAGGCUAGGUUGUACUAGCCCAAAACUAUAUACAACUAAGGAAAAAUAAAAAAUGAUGGUCUACCAAAUAUGGCGCAUGAGCCUUAAGGUGGACCUAGAGGGAAGUAGAAGAAAUAAAUAUAUAACAGAAUAUGUUUUCACAAUGUAAGGUAAAGUGUAGAUGUGCUCUAACUGGGCUUAGAUUGCAGCGACAUGUAAUCCAUCCACAAGGCUUGGUUGCACAUGGAAAAAUAUAGAGAGAGAAAUGUAGACGUAGGACCAAGAGAAAAACAAUCAAUGAGGCGUGAUUGCAUGAACAUAUAACUAGAUAGAAGAAAAGAGUUAAAGAAAAAUAAAGGAACUAAAUUUUCUUUUGCACACUUACCAUGAAUGGAGCUGUAGUAUCUGUGAUCUCAAUUUUAAUUUAUUCCAAGAUGCAGAAUUAUGUUGCGAGACUCGUAAUGGUUACAUAGGGAUAAAAGUAGAUAAGAAAAAUAGCAAAAAGAUAGUGGUCUACCAGAGAGGGCACAUGUGCCCUAAUUGGCCUACAGCAUAGCGGCUCAUUAUCCUUCCACCGCUGGUGGAGGGUGGUACUCGCUGCUCUGUGAAGUCAACCUCAUGCAAUGUCCGCCACUUUAGGUGUUGGGAUGCAAAGGCUUUUGCCAAGGCACACGAAACCCACGACAGAACUUGGAAUGGGUGGUCCACAUUUUGUAGCACUAGACCCAGGCUCAUGCACCACAAUUGACAUCCACACUACCGUAUUGCCCCCUCUCAGGUUACAAGCAAUCGCUACUUGCUCAGCGAGUGAGGGGGUUUAGGACUGCCUAUUUAAGGUGGUUUUGUAAUCUAUGAGCCGAUGUUGUGGUAUUUACCAACAACAAAUAGUAUCAUGCAUGUGAGUUGCUAGUUGGCAAAGUCUGUUGUCGAGCUAGCUAUGGGCUAUGGCAAAAGCACAUUAGGAUAGAAUAGACCAAUUCUAUUUUUUUGUUGUUUUUGGGCCAUUAUGGACUUUAUGUUGAUGUUGUCCUAAUUUUUCAUGUGUUUCCUCUUGCCUAUGAAGUGGAAAGUGGGUGCGUCAGAGAAGAAAGAAAGAGUGGCUAGCAUUCAUUUUACGUCAUCCCCUUAACGACAGUAACCAAAAGCAGAAGCAACAAUAUUUCAUACAUAUACAACACUUGUAAUCCAUAUAAACAACUUUCCUUCAAAAAAUAAUAUAAACCACAUGAUUUAUAUCUUGUGUCAGUCAUCUCCUCAAAGGGAAGGGAAACACUCCUAGGUUUGUAGUAUAGAACUAAGAGUGUCUACUCUCACGAUUUUUUCCCAACAUAUGCAAACUAGACACUAAUCACAUAAAGUAAAGACAUGUGUGGUAACAUGAGCUUAUAACAUGUAAACCUAUAGAUUGUUGAUUAUUAUGGUAGAUUAUAUAAUAUAGGGUUUCCUAGAGAAAUACGUAAAAACAAUAGAAUUAAAAUUUCCUCUUCAGAUUUGGCUAACUUGUAAAAGGAGUUGGAGUAUCUGAGUUUCCAAAUUUGGGACGUAGAUGUAUAGAAGGAAUAUAAAUACAUUGGAAAAAUUCAACAACGUAAGGUCUAACACAAGUAGGGCUAAGAAAAAAUAAAUGAGCCUUUGGUCGCAUGAUCAUAAAACUAGAGACAAGAAACACAAAGAAACCAAGGUAAUUAGUAUGAGAGUUUUCCAAUGUAGAAAAAAUAAAUAUAUGAUAAACAUGUUUCUUUUGCAAGGCAUGGUAAAAUAAGUGGGAGUGAGCAAUAAAUUUCAUCAUAGAUUUAGAAGGAAUAAAUAUAUCAAUAAAUAUGUUUCACAAUGCCAAGUUAAGUAGGUGGGACCGAGAAAACAAUUCUAGCGAGGCUUGGUUGUACCAACCUGGAACUAGAUACAACAGAGGAAAAAUGAAAAAAAAUGAUGGUCUACCAAAUAUGGCGCAUGAGCCUUAAGGUGGACCUAGAGGGAAGUAUUAGAAAUAAAUAUAUAACUGAAUAUGUUUUUCGCAAUGCAAGGUAAAGUGUUGAUGUGCUCUAACUGGGCUUAGAUUGCAGCGACAAGUUAUCCAUCCACAAGGUUUGGUUGCACAUGGAAAACGAUGGAGAGAGAAAUGUUUACGCAGGACUAGGAGAAAAAAACAUUCAAUGAGGUGUGAUUGCGCAGACAUAGAACUAGAUAGAUGUAAAGAUUAAAGAAAAAUAAAGGGACUAAAUUUUCUUUAGCACACUUAGCAUGAAUGGAGUUGUAGUAUCUGAUAUCCCAAAUUUAAUUUGUUCUAGGAUGCAGAAGAAAUUGCAAGACUCGUAAUGAUUACAUAGGGACAAAAGUAGGUAAGAAAAAUAGCAAAAAGAUAGUGGUCUAUGAAAGAGGGCACUUGUGCCUUAAUUGUCCUAGAGCAUAGCGGCUCAUUAUCCUUCCACCGCUGGUGGUGGGCGGUACUCGCUUCUCAGUGAAGCCAGCCUCACGCAAUGUCCACCACUUUAGGUGUUGGGAUGCAAAGGCUUUCGCCAAGGCACCCGAAAGCCACUACACAACUUUGAAUGGGUGGUUCGCAGUUUGUAGGACUAGACCCAGGCACAUGCUCCACAAUUGACAUCCACACUAUCUG
RNAcentral lists this long non-coding RNA (5707 nucleotides) under Zea mays. RNAcentral's name for it is "long non-coding RNA (ZMAY_LNC000508)". The record is from RNAcentral. Lineage: Eukaryota; Viridiplantae; Streptophyta; Magnoliopsida; Poales; Poaceae.